RNAcentral lists this transfer RNA (75 nucleotides) under Micromonospora craterilacus. RNAcentral's name for it is "Jishengella sp. NA12 tRNA-Gln". It matches the Rfam family "tRNA". Rfam says of the family: Transfer RNA (tRNA) molecules are approximately 80 nucleotides in length. Their secondary structure includes four short double-helical elements and three loops (D, anti-codon, and T loops). The record is from RNAcentral. Lineage: Bacteria; Bacillati; Actinomycetota; Actinomycetes; Micromonosporales; Micromonosporaceae.
UGGGGUGUGGGGUAACGGCAACCCGCAGGCCUUUGGAGCCUUGAGCUCCUGGUUCGAAUCCAGGCACCCCAGCAA